Molecule: ribosomal RNA, 541 nt
Filed under: uncultured Gallionellaceae bacterium
Lineage: Bacteria; Pseudomonadati; Pseudomonadota; Betaproteobacteria; Nitrosomonadales; Gallionellaceae
Description: bacterial SSU rRNA
Rfam family: Bacterial small subunit ribosomal RNA
Source: RNAcentral
AGUGGGGGAUAACGUAGCGAAAGUUACGCUAAUACCGCAUAUGCCCUGAGGGGGAAAGGGGGGGAUCGCAAGACCUUCCGCUUUCGGAGUGGCCGAUAUCAGAUUAGCUAGUUGGUGAGGUAAAGGCUCACCAAGGCAACGAUCUGUAGCGGGUCUGAGAGGAUGAUCCGCCACACUGGGACUGAGACACGGCCCAGACUCCUACGGGAGGCAGCAGUGGGGAAUUUUGGACAAUGGGGGCAACCCUGAUCCAGCCAUGCCGCGUGAGUGAAGAAGGCCUUCGGGUUGUAAAGCUCUUUCAGCCGGAAAGAAAUCGCACAGGCUAAUAUCUUGUGUGGAUGACGGUACCGGAAGAAGAAGCACCGGCUAACUACGUGCCAGCAGCCGCGGUAAUACGUAGGGUGCGAGCGUUAAUCGGAAUUACUGGGCGUAAAGCGUGCGCAGGCGGUUUUGUAAGACAGGCGUGAAAUCCCCGGGCUUAACCUGGGAACUGCGUUUGUGACUGCAAGGCUAGAGUGUGGCAGAGGGGGGUAGAAUUCCG